RNAcentral lists this ribosomal RNA (263 nucleotides) under uncultured bacterium. Its description in RNAcentral is "partial 16S ribosomal RNA". It matches the Rfam family "Bacterial small subunit ribosomal RNA", at positions 793 to 1055 of the family's 1533-position model. The record is from RNAcentral.
GUCCACGCCGUAAACGAUGUCAACUAGCCGUUGGAAUCCUUGAGAUUUUAGUGGCGCAGCUAACGCAUUAAGUUGACCGCCUGGGGAGUACGGCCGCAAGGUUAAAACUCAAAUGAAUUGACGGGGGCCCGCACAAGCGGUGGAGCAUGUGGUUUAAUUCGAAGCAACGCGAAGAACCUUACCAGGCCUUGACAUCCAAUGAACUUUCCAGAGAUGGAUUGGUGCCUUCGGGAACAUUGAGACAGGUGCUGCAUGGCUGUCGU